GGUUCAGGAUGAACGCUAGCUACAGGCUUAACACAUGCAAGUCGAGGGGCAGCAUGGGAGUUGCUUGCAACUUCUGAUGGCGACCGGCGCACGGGUGAGUAACGCGUAUCCAACCUUCCCCUUAGUAGGGCAUAGCCCGUAGAAAUGCGGAUUAAUACCCUAUGUUCUUCGAAGCGGUCAUCCAAUUUGAAGCAAAGAUUCAUCGCUAAGGGAUGGGGAUGCGUCCGAUUAGGUUGUUGGCGGGGUAACGGCCCACCAAGCCAUCGAUCGGUAGGGUUCUGAGAGGAAGGUCCCCCACAUUGGAACUGAGACACGGUCCAAACUCCUACGGGAGGCAGCAGUGAGGAAUAUUGGUCAAUGGGCGAGAGCCUGAACCAGCCAAGUAGCGUGCAGGAUGACGGCCCUAUGGGUUGUAAACUGCUUUUAUCAGGGGAUAAAGUGACCCACGUGUGGGUUUUUGUAGGUACCUGAUGAAUAAGGACCGGCUAAUUCCGUGCCAGCCGCUGC
This 507-nucleotide ribosomal RNA is filed under the name uncultured bacterium. RNAcentral describes it as "bacterial SSU rRNA". It matches the Rfam family "Bacterial small subunit ribosomal RNA", at positions 21 to 518 of the family's 1533-position model. The record is from RNAcentral.